This 72-nucleotide transfer RNA is filed under the name Camelus ferus (Wild Bactrian camel). It matches the Rfam family "tRNA". From Rfam's summary of the family: Transfer RNA (tRNA) molecules are approximately 80 nucleotides in length. Lineage: Eukaryota; Metazoa; Chordata; Mammalia; Artiodactyla; Camelidae. The record is from Rfam by way of RNAcentral.
GAGGGUAUAGCUCAAUGGUAGACUAUUUGCUUAGCAUGCACAAUGUCCUGGGUUCCAUCCCCAGUAUCUCCA